Molecule: small RNA, 148 nt
Filed under: Macaca fascicularis (crab-eating macaque)
Lineage: Eukaryota; Metazoa; Chordata; Mammalia; Primates; Cercopithecidae
Description: Metazoan signal recognition particle RNA (ENSMFAG00000061297.1)
Source: Rfam by way of RNAcentral
GCCAGGCAUGGUGGCGCAUGCCUGUAAUACCAGCUACUCAGGAGGCUGAGGCAGGAGAAUCACUUGAACCCAGGAAGCAGAGGUUGCAGUGAGCUGAGAUCGCACCACUGCACUCCAGCCUGGGUAACAGAGUAAGAUUCUGUCUCAA